GAUGAACGCUGGCGGCGUGCCUAAUACAUGCAAGUCGAGCGAACGGACGAGAAGCUUGCUUCUCUGAUGUUAGCGGCGGACGGGUGAGUAACACGUGGAUAACCUACCUAUAAGACUGGGAUAACUUCGGGAAACCGGAGCUAAUACCGGAUGAUAUUUUGAACCGCAUGGUUCAAAAGUGAAAGACGGUCUUGCUGUCACUUAUAGAUGGAUCCGCGCUGCAUUAGCUAGUUGGUAAGGUAACGGCUUACCAAGGCAACGAUGCAUAGCCGACCUGAGAGGGGGAUCGGCCACACUGGAACUGAGACACGGUCCAGACUACUACGGGAGGCAGCAGUAGGGAAUCUUCCGCAAUGGGCGAAAGCCUGACGGAGCAACGCCGCGUGAGUGAUGAAGGUCUUCGGAUCGUAAAACUCUGUUAUUAGGGAAGAACAUAUGUGUAAGUAACUGUGCACAUCUUGACGGUACCUAAUCAGAAAGCCACGGCUAACUACGUG
Molecule: ribosomal RNA, 497 nt
Filed under: uncultured bacterium
Lineage: Bacteria
Description: partial 16S ribosomal RNA
Rfam family: Bacterial small subunit ribosomal RNA
Source: RNAcentral